RNAcentral lists this ribosomal RNA (253 nucleotides) under uncultured bacterium. RNAcentral describes it as "partial 16S ribosomal RNA". It matches the Rfam family "Bacterial small subunit ribosomal RNA", at positions 524 to 776 of the family's 1533-position model. The record is from RNAcentral.
UACGGAGGGUGCAAGCGUUAUCCGGAUUCACUGGGUUUAAAGGGUGCGUAGGAGGGCAGGUAAGUCAGUGGUGAAAUCUCCGAGCUUAACUUGGAAACUGCCGUUGAUACUAUCUGCCUUGAAUAUUGUGGAGGUGAGCGGAAUAUGUCAUGUAGCGGUGAAAUGCUUAGAUAUGACAUAGAACACCAAUUGCGAAGGCAGCUCGCUACACAUAUAUUGACGCUGAGGCGCGAAAGCCAGGGGAGCAAACGGG